RNAcentral lists this ribosomal RNA (1419 nucleotides) under Leptodactylus mystacinus (moustached frog). Its description in RNAcentral is "partial large subunit ribosomal RNA". It matches the Rfam family "Bacterial large subunit ribosomal RNA", at positions 359 to 2563 of the family's 2925-position model. The record is from RNAcentral. Lineage: Eukaryota; Metazoa; Chordata; Amphibia; Anura; Leptodactylidae.
UAUCUGUGAGACUCAGAUUACUCCGAGCCAAUAAUCUAGCCCAACUUUGACCCUAUGACUGCCUAAAAACUUAAUUAAACAACUAAACCAUUUUUACAAUUUAGUAAAGGAGAUUAAAAAAUUUUUAUGGAGCUAUACUUAAGUACCGCAAGGGAAAGAUGAAAUAGAUGUGAAACAGAUAUUAAGCGCAAAAAAGUAAAGACUUUACCUUGUACCUUUUGCAUCAUGGUUUAACUAGUCUAAUCAAGCAAAAAGACCUAAAGUUUGACCCCCCGAAACCAAGUGAGCUACUUCAAGGCAGCUUUAUGAGCCAACCCGUCUCUGUUGCAAAAGAGUGGGAAGACCUUUAAGUAGGGGUGAUAGACCUACCGAACUUAGUGAUAGCUGGUUGCUUGGAAAACGGAUUUUAGUCCAACCUAAGAUUAUAAAAAUAUAUAAAAAUGUGAACUUAAUUUUAGAGCAAUUCAAGUAAGGUACAGCCUGCUUGAAACAGGAUACAACCUAAAAAUGUGGGUAAUUAAAUCUUUCUGCCAUAAAGUGGGCCUAAAAGCAGCCACCUUUUGAAUAGCGUCACAGCUUAAUCACAUACAGAUUUAAUAACAAAAAUUUUACCGAACCCCACCCUACUACCAAGCAAUUCUAUAUUUUUAUAGAACUUUUUAUGUUAAAACUAGUAACAAGAAGAACCCCUUCUCUUUAAUGCAAGCAUAAAUCAGCCAGGACCAACCACUGAUAAUUAACACCUAUGAACUAAUAGUAACAACACUUCAAGAAAACCUUACUUCAUCUUAUGUUAACCUAACACAAGAGCAUUUUAAGAAAGAUUAAAAGAAAAAGAAGGAACUCGGCAAACAUUAACCCCGCCUGUUUACCAAAAACAUCGCCUCUUGAUUCUAAUAAGAGGUCCAGCCUGCCCAGUGACUUUGUUCAACGGCCGCGGUAUCCUAACCGUGCGAAGGUAGCGUAAUCACUUGUUCUUUAAAUGAGGACUAGUAUGAAUGGCACCACGAAGGUUAUACUGUCUCCUUUAUCUAAUCAGUGAAACUAAUCUUCCCGUGAAGAAGCGGGAAUAAACAUAUAAGACGAGAAGACCCUAUGGAGCUUUAAACAAGUAUACAACUGCCUUUCCUAUUUUAAAAUUUCAGAAAACAAACCAUUAUUUAGGCAUUUUGAUAUAAAGUUUUAGGUUGGGGUGACCACGGAGAAAAAUGUAACCUCCGCAAUGAACGGGGCUUCCCCCCCCUUAACUAAGAGCUACGACCCUAAGAAUCAAUAAAUUGACAUCAAUUGACCCAAUAAAUUUGAUCAAUGAACCAAGUUACCCUAGGGAUAACAGCGCAAUCCACUUCAAGAGCCCCUAUCGACAAGUGGGUUUACGACCUCGAUGUUGGAUCAGGGUAUCCUAGUGGUGCAGCCGCU